This 59-nucleotide small RNA is filed under the name Salix viminalis (osier). The record is from RNAcentral. Lineage: Eukaryota; Viridiplantae; Streptophyta; Magnoliopsida; Malpighiales; Salicaceae.
AAGGCACGAAGCUCUGUCAGCUUUGUAACAGAAGAACAUAAAGCCUUCCCAUGUUCCUU